This 925-nucleotide ribosomal RNA is filed under the name uncultured marine bacterium. Its description in RNAcentral is "bacterial SSU rRNA". It matches the Rfam family "Bacterial small subunit ribosomal RNA", at positions 57 to 1026 of the family's 1533-position model. The record is from RNAcentral.
GCAGUCGAACGAAGUAGCAAUACUUAGUGGCAGACGGGUGAGUAACAUGUAGGUAUCUGCCCUUUGGCCUGGAAUAACACGAGGAAACUUGUGCUAAUACCGGAUAAGUCUUUACGGAGAAAGCUUUAUGCACCAUUGGAUGAGCCUGCACUUGAUUAGUUUGUUGGUGGGGUAAUGGCCUACCAAGACUGUGAUCAAUAGCUGAUUUGAGAGGAUGAUCAGCCACAUUGGGACUGAGACACGGCCCAAACUCCUACGGGAGGCAGCAGUGGGGAAUCUUGCACAAUGGAGGAAACUCUGAUGCAGCGAUGCCGCGUGAGUGAAGAAGGCCCUUGGGUUGUAAAGCUCUUUCGUCGGGGAAGAAAAUGACUGUACCCGAAUAAGAAGGUCCGGCUAACUUCGUGCCAGCAGCCGCGGUAAUACGAAGGGACCUAGCGUAGUUCGGAAUUACUGGGCUUAAAGAGUUCGUAGGUUGUUGAAAUAGUUGGUGGCGAAAUCCCAGAGCUUAACUCUGGAACUGCCAUCAAAACUUUUCAGCUAGAGUAUGAUAGAGGAAAGCAGAAUUUCUAGUGUAGAGGUGAAAUUCGUAGAUAUUAGAAAGAAUACCAAAUGCGAAGGCAGCUUUCUGGAUCAUUACUGACACUGAGGAACGAAAGCAUGGGUAGCGAAGAGGAUUAGAUACCCUCGUAGUCCAUGCCGUAAACGAUGUGUGUUAGACGUUGGAAAUUUAUUUUCAGUGUCGCAGGGAAACCGAUAAACACACCGCCUGGGGAGUACGACCGCAAGGUUAAAACUCAAAUGAAUUGACGGGGACCCGCACAAGUAGUGGAGCAUGUGGUUUAAUUCGAAGAUACGCGCAGAACCUUACCCACACUUGACAUGUUCGUCGCGACUCUAAGAGAUUAGAGUUUUCGGUUCGGCCGGA